Long non-coding RNA from Choloepus didactylus (southern two-toed sloth), 805 nucleotides. RefSeq lists it as uncharacterized. The transcript has 2 exons. The record is from RefSeq and is a predicted model, not a curated record. Lineage: Eukaryota; Metazoa; Chordata; Mammalia; Pilosa; Megalonychidae.
CUGAGUUUGGCUGCUUCCUUGGGGAAGAAGAGGGGUGGGGGCCUCAGGUGUGGGAGACAAAUGACCAGGCAGUGUCCAAAAUGUAUAAUCUGCUGAUGGAGUGAAUUUGAGCAAAUUUCUCGAAUCAUUCGUUGUAAACCGAGAGUGAGGCGGCCAUGACUGAGCCGGCAUUGGUGCAAGAACACCUUGUCCCUCCAGGGCCGCCUUUCGUGGAGCGAACUCGGCUCAGGUGCGUUCACUGAUAACUUCAGCACACACCUGUGCAGGGCAGCUGUGCGAUAGGCACCUAGUAGGGACUGUCUUCUUGGAGCUGACUUUCCAGUGGGGCAAGCAGAUAAAAAUCAAGUACCUGGACUUAAGAAAUUACACCCUGAGAGGGGUCGAAAGAAAAGGUAUCGGGAGCAGGUCAUGACUGGCGAAGCCAGCGAAGCUCUAAUGGACCUGGCUGCCUUUCCUGAGACCCCUCCACAUUGGACUCGACAUGACCUUCCACCAGGAGACUCGGUGUACUAGAAGAGACAUCAAGGAAAGGCUACUUUAUAAUCUAGAUGGAAAGGACUUGAUCAAGUCUUAUUGAAUUGGUCACUGCUAUGGCAGUAAAACUACAGGGAAUUGACCCUUGGGUCUAUAUGUCACAACUAACACAUGCUCCAGGCCCUUUAGAGGAUACUUCCAUUUCGAACCUCAAGCUACAACUGAAGUGAAGAUGUAGAUGCAUCUGUUGUAGACAGCACCUGCCCAAGAUUCUGGAACAAGCAGAUGACACCCAAGAUCAUGGAUUAAGACGCACCCAGAUUUUAUCUUA